Long non-coding RNA from Sinocyclocheilus anshuiensis, 359 nucleotides. RefSeq lists it as uncharacterized. The record is from RefSeq and is a predicted model, not a curated record. The transcript is spliced from 3 exons. NCBI's taxonomy places the organism in Eukaryota, Metazoa, Chordata, Actinopteri, Cypriniformes, Cyprinidae.
CGGACAGCACACGUACGUCUGGCCGACGUCGGCCCAAGAGUGAAACGUCGGCCUCAUUAUCUAAAACAUCUAAUAAGCGUCGGCCAAGCAUAGGCCGAUAUAAUUCGGUCAGUGCUCUGUUUCUCAGCUCAUCAAGCGUCGGCUCUGAGUCGGCUCACGACCGGAGGCCGAUGCCGCGCUUUUCUGUUUGCUGGAGCAGUUAUUCGUCUCUUAUAUAGCAACCUACAGAGAGAAGAGACUUAUCCCGCGACAUCUGGGGCUUUCAGGCUAACGUUACCAGAAAGAAUCCGUUUCUACGAUGUUUAUUUGUGUAAAUGCUGUGUGUGCGUUGAGCUCUGCACGAGCUGGGAGCAGAGUUG